GAUGAAGAACGUAGCGAAAUGCGAUAAGUAAUGUGAAUUGCAGAAUUCAGUGAAUCAUCGAAUCUUUGAACGCACAUUGCGCCCCCUGGUAUUCCGGGGGGCAUGCCUGUUCGAGCGUCAUUUCACCACUCAAGCCUCGCUUGGUAUUGGGCAACGCGGUCCGCCGCGUGCCUCAAAUCGACCGGCUGGGUCUUCUGUCCCCUAAGCGUUGUGGAAACUAUUCGCUAAAAGGGUGUUCGGGAGGCUACGCCGUAAAACAACCCCAUUUCUAAGGUUGACCUCGGAUCAGGUAGGGAUACCCGCUGAACUUAAGCAUAUCAAUAAGCGGAGGA
Molecule: unclassified non-coding RNA, 332 nt
Filed under: soil metagenome
Description: partial contains 5.8S ribosomal RNA, internal transcribed spacer 2, and large subunit ribosomal RNA
Rfam family: 5.8S ribosomal RNA (bases 1-120)
Source: RNAcentral